Molecule: ribosomal RNA, 253 nt
Filed under: uncultured bacterium
Lineage: Bacteria
Description: partial 16S ribosomal RNA
Rfam family: Bacterial small subunit ribosomal RNA
Source: RNAcentral
UACGUAGGGUGCGAGCGUUGUCCGGAAUUAUUGGGCGUAAAGAGCUUGUAGGCGGUUUGUCGCGUCUGCCGUGAAAAUUCGAGGCUCAACCUCGAACUUGCGGUGGGUACGGGCAGACUAGAGUGUGGUAGGGGAGACUGGAAUUCCUGGUGUAGCGGUGAAAUGCGCAGAUAUCAGGAGGAACACCGAUGGCGAAGGCAGGUCUCUGGGCCGAAACUGACGCUGAGGAGCGAAAGCGUGGGGAGCAAACAGG